This is a long non-coding RNA of Bubalus bubalis (water buffalo), 744 nucleotides long. RefSeq lists it as uncharacterized. The record is from RefSeq and is a predicted model, not a curated record. The transcript has 2 exons. NCBI's taxonomy places the organism in Eukaryota, Metazoa, Chordata, Mammalia, Artiodactyla, Bovidae.
CUGUGGCUCAAGGAGGAGCCGCUGCUGACGCUGCUCUUCCCUGUGAGGCCUCGGACAAAAUGGCCCUGCAAGUGUGGCUGCCUCUGAGCACGACGGCCCUUCCCGGGGACCAACUCCAAAGGGACAGCCCUGCCCCGGGAGCCUAUUUAAUACCGAAUGUGCCGCAUAUUCCACAAUAAUACAGUUCCAUCGCCGCUUGUAAAAAGCAGAAAUGUCUUCAACGGAUAGAUAGGGUGGACGCUUGUCCGCGAAUAUUACAGGAUAGCAUUUGAGAUCCCAGACUUGAAACUGAAGAAGCUGGCUACUUGGAAGUGUCUAUGGUGCAGACCAAGAAAGACCCAAGAAAAUAUUCCUCUCUUUAGCUGAAGGACCAGUAAAGGGGCAGUAUAGCAGACAGAAAACAUUUAGACAAUAAAUGCUCUACUCCAGACAAAAACUAAGAAAAAAAUAUGACUCCUGUCCCCUAAUUCAUGCUAGCAAAGGUCUGGUGGAGAGCCUAGACUUUCACCUCAACUUCCCCUCACCUCUUCUGGUGUCAGAGAAAGUUAAGUAGGGAGUUAGGACACUCAUCCCACUAACCACUAAUGGGAAGCCUCCUAUCUUGGGUGUCAGUGGAGGCCAAAUAGGGAACUUGGACUUCUUCCCCAACCUGCCAGUAAUGAGGUGGUGCCUGCUCUCCACCCCCACUUCCACUUGGAAUGCUGUGUCAGAAAAAGCCAGCUAAAAUAAAAGAUUUAAAUAAGA